GCUUACCGCGUGAGUGAGAAGGCUUCGAGUUGUAAAGCUCUCGACAUCCGGGAAAAAAGCGAUGAUCUCGGGGAACGUGCGUGUACUGUGAUGCUCCCGGAGGAAGAAGCACCGGCUAACUCUGUGCCAGCAGCCGCGGUAAUACAGAGGGUGCAAGCGUUGUUCGGAAUUACUGGGCGUCAAGCGUGCGUAGUCGGUAUUGAGAGUCGCGGGUGAAAUCCCAGGGCUUAACCCUGGAACUGCCUGCGAGACCUCAGUACUAGAGUGUGAGAGGGGAUAGUGGAAUACCAAGUGUAGCGGUAAAAUGCGUAGAGAUAAGGUGGAACACCGGUGGCGAACGCAGCUAUCUGGCUCACAACUGACGAUCAGGCACGAAAGCGUGGGUAGCAAACAGGAUUAGAUACCCUGAUAGUCCAAGCCGUAAACUAUGCAUACAAGCUGUAGUGGGGAUUUUCUCCUGCUGUGGCGAAGCUAACGCAAUCAGUAUGCCGCCUGAGGAGUACGGUCGCAAGAGUAAAACUCACAGGAAUUGACGGGGGCCCGCACAAGCGGUGGAUUAUGUGGUUUAAUUCGAAGCAACGCGCAGAACCUUACCUGGGUGUGACAUCCCAAGACAUCCGUAGAAAUACGGCAUUGUAACAAUACACAUGGAGACA
RNAcentral lists this ribosomal RNA (656 nucleotides) under uncultured archaeon. RNAcentral describes it as "bacterial SSU rRNA". It matches the Rfam family "Bacterial small subunit ribosomal RNA", at positions 391 to 1036 of the family's 1533-position model. The record is from RNAcentral.